CUCCGUUGGGUAAACUCGCAACGAUAUACGUGCAAGGUGCUGUCGAACUUUUAUACGGCGGAGAAGCAUUGCUGCAAACACGUUUUAUUAGGUUUGGGCUGAAGAACGCUUUGUAAGUAGCCCAUCAAGAAGCUCUGGAAAGCAACUAUCAGUUCACGGCUAGGAAUCCGACGCCAAACCAUGCAUUUAUUAUAUUAAAACUGAAUAAACACCUUUGUAAUUACUUGUUGUUUGUUUUGAUAUUAUGUGAUGAUGAUUAAG
This is a long non-coding RNA of Lingula anatina, 261 nucleotides long. RefSeq lists it as uncharacterized. NCBI's taxonomy places the organism in Eukaryota, Metazoa, Brachiopoda, Lingulata, Lingulida, Lingulidae. The record is from RefSeq and is a predicted model, not a curated record.